AUGGACGACUUGGUGAAUAGUCUCCGCGGUUUAUUUUCGCUGGUUUUUUUUCGUCACCUCCCCCACCCCACCCCACCCCAUCCCACGCAGCCACCAAAAAAACCCACACCCAACAAAAAAAAUCCAUCGACCCCAUCCUUCGUUGCCCACUCCCAUCGAUCCCAUCUAUCGUUUCCGCCGCCGCCGCGAGAAAACUCCAUCGAUCCCCAUCCUUCCUUGCCCACUCCCAUCGAUCAUUGCCACCACCGCCGCCGAAUCCUCCGCCCCACCGCCAUUCCGCUCGUACGCCGCUGCCGCCAUUCCGCUCGCACGGUGCACCCCUCCCGCAUGCCGCCGCCAUCUCCCAUCGCAGUUGCUCGGGCAUGGAGCUCGUGUGCCAUGGGCCAUGAACGCCAUGGCAUCCAUGGCCGACAAGAAGGGACCCUCGGCCUCGGCCGUGGGCGCCUGAUCGGGACACGGGGUCGCCACGUCGGCCGCCGCCAGCGCCUCAUGGAUAUGCCUAGCGCCCUCUAUGCCGCCGCCCAUGAUCGGAUCACCACACCACCCGCGGAGGACGAUGCCUCCGUGCCUGGCCGUCGGCUCCUACACGCCCGAUGGGGCUGCCUCUCCAUGCAUUGA
RNAcentral lists this ribosomal RNA (618 nucleotides) under Triticum aestivum (bread wheat). RNAcentral describes it as "partial small subunit ribosomal RNA". The record is from RNAcentral. Lineage: Eukaryota; Viridiplantae; Streptophyta; Magnoliopsida; Poales; Poaceae.